Molecule: ribosomal RNA, 253 nt
Filed under: uncultured bacterium
Lineage: Bacteria
Description: partial 16S ribosomal RNA
Rfam family: Bacterial small subunit ribosomal RNA
Source: RNAcentral
GACAGAGGUUGCAAGCGUUGUUCGGAAUUACUGGGCGUAAAGCGCGUGUAGGCGGCGAAGCAUGUCUGAUGUGAAAGCCCUCGGCUUAACUGGGGAAGUGCAUCAGAAACUGCUUUGCUUGAGUGUGAGAGAGGGUGGCGGAAUUCCCAGAGUAGAAGUGAAAUUCGUAGAUACUGGGAGGAACACCAGAGGCGAAGGCGGCCACCUGGUUCACAACUGACGCUGAGACGCAAAAGCGUGGGGAGCAAACAGG